UUUUCUUGAACCCCGAAAUUUUCUUUUCUUCUUCUUGGUCUGAAAACCACGUCGGUCUGAUCUCCGCUUCGGUCUGAACUCUGGUUCGGUCUGAACUCCGGAAAAUUGGUCUGAACACCACUUCGGUCUGAACUCCGCUUCGGUCUGAACUCCGGAAAAUUGGUCGCGCCAAUGAUCCCCAAUCAUUGCAUUUGAACCCCUGAACC
This 206-nucleotide long non-coding RNA is filed under the name Lathyrus oleraceus (garden pea). RNAcentral's name for it is "Pisum sativum (pea) long non-coding RNA (PSAT_LNC033084)". The record is from RNAcentral. Lineage: Eukaryota; Viridiplantae; Streptophyta; Magnoliopsida; Fabales; Fabaceae.